GUAGGUGAACCUGCGGAAGGAUCAUUAAAGAGUAAGGGUCUCUGGCCCGAACCUCCAACCCUCUGUUGUUAAAACUACCUUGUUGCUUUGGCGGGACCGUUCGGUCUCGAGCGCGCCGGUCUUCGGAUUGGCGAGCGCCCGCCAGAGUCCAACCAAACUCUUGUAUUAAACCAGUCGUCUGAGUAUAAAAUUUUAAUUUAAUUAAAACUUUCAACAACGGAUCUCUUGGUUCUCGCAUCGAUGAAGAACGCAGCGAAAUGCGAUAAGUAAUGUGAAUUGCAGAAUUCAGUGAAUCAUCGAAUCUUUGAACGCACAUUGCGCCCCUUGGUAUUCCGAGGGGCAUGCCUGUUCGAGCGUCAUUACACCACUCAAGCACUGCUUGGUAUUGGGCAUCGUCCGUCGAAAGACGGGCGUGCCUCGAAGACCUCGGCGGGGCCUAACCGGCUUCGGGCGUAGUAGAGUUAAAUCGAACGUCUUAUGAGUCUGGUUAGAACCCAUUGCCGUAAAACCUUUUAUUUUCUAGGUUGACCUCGGAUCAGGUAGGGAUACCCGCUGAACUUAAGCAUAUCAAUAAGCGGAGGAAAAGAAACCAACAGGGAUUGCCCUAGUAACGGCGAGUGAAGCGGCAAUAGCUCAAAUUUGAAAGCUGGCCUCUGGUCCGCAUUGUAAUUUGUAGAGGAUGCUUUUAGGCAGCCGCCGGUCUAAGUUCCUUGGAACAGGACGUCAUAGAGGGUGAGAAUCCCGUA
This 746-nucleotide ribosomal RNA is filed under the name Scleroconidioma sphagnicola. Its description in RNAcentral is "eukaryotic LSU rRNA". The stretch from base 526 to 746 matches the Rfam family "Eukaryotic large subunit ribosomal RNA", at positions 1 to 225 of the family's 3401-position model. The record is from RNAcentral. Lineage: Eukaryota; Fungi; Ascomycota; Dothideomycetes; Dothideales; Dothideaceae.